AGCGAGCGCAGGCGGUUUCUUAAGUCUGAUGUGAAAGCCUUCGGCUCAACCGAAGAAGUGCAUCGGAAACUGGGAAACUUGAGUGCAGAAGAGGACAGUGGAACUCCAUGAGUAGCGGUGAAAUGCGUAGAUAUAUGGAAGAACACCAGUGGCGAAGGCGGCUGUCUGGUCUGUAACUGACGCAGAGGCUCGAAAGCAUGGGUAGCAAACAGGAUUAGAUACCCUGGUAGUCCAUGCCGUAAACGAUGAGUGCUAGGUGUUGGAGGGUUUCCGCCCUUCAGUGCCGCAGCUAACGCAUUAAGCACUCCGCCUGGGGAGUACGACCGCAAGGUUGAAACUCAAAGGAAUUGACGGGGGCCCGCUCAAGCGGUGGAGCAUGUGGUUUAAUUCGAAGCAACGCGAAGAACCUUACCAGGUCUUGACAUCCUUUGACCACUCUAGAGAUAGAGCUUUCCCUUCGGGGACAAAGUGACAGGUGGUGCAUGGUUGUCGUCAGCUCGUGUCGUGAGAUGUUGGGUUAAGUCCCGCAACGAGCGCAACCCUUAUUACUAGUUGCCAGCAUUUAGUUGGGCACUCUAGUGAGACUGCCGGUGACAAACCGGAGGAAGGUGGGGACGGCGUCAAAUCAUCAUGCCCCUUAUGACCUGGGCUACACACGUGCUACAAUGGAUGGUACAACGAGUCGCGAGACCGCGAGGUUUAGCUAAUCUC
This 711-nucleotide ribosomal RNA is filed under the name uncultured bacterium. Its description in RNAcentral is "bacterial SSU rRNA". It matches the Rfam family "Bacterial small subunit ribosomal RNA", at positions 564 to 1275 of the family's 1533-position model. The record is from RNAcentral.